CCUACGGGCGGCAGCAGUCGAGAAUCAUUCACAAUGGGGGAAACCCUGAUGGUGCGACGCCGCGUGGGGGAAUGAAGGUCUUCGGAUCGUAAACCUCUGUCAGCAGGGAAGAACGGUCACUGUGCUAAUCAGCAGUGAAUUAACGGUACCUGCAAAGGAAGCACCGGCUAACUCCGUGCCAGCAGCCACGGUAAUACGGAGGGUGCGAGCGUUAAUCGGAAUUACUGGGCGUAACGCGCUCGUAGGCGGUAUGUAAAGUCAAGGGGGAAAUCCGCGCGCUCAACGGGGGAACUGCCUUUGAAACUGGCAAACUGGAGUGUGUGAGAGGAUGGUGGAAGUCGAGGUGUAGGAGUGAAAUGCGUAGAUAUCUGGAGGAACAUCAGUGGCGAAGGCGACUAUCUGGCACAUAACUGACGCUGAGGAGCGAAAGCGUGGGUAGCAAACAGGAUUAGAUACCCGGGUAGUC
This 466-nucleotide ribosomal RNA is filed under the name uncultured bacterium. RNAcentral's name for it is "partial 16S ribosomal RNA". It matches the Rfam family "Bacterial small subunit ribosomal RNA", at positions 338 to 795 of the family's 1533-position model. The record is from RNAcentral.